Molecule: ribosomal RNA, 265 nt
Filed under: uncultured archaeon
Lineage: Archaea
Description: partial 16S ribosomal RNA
Rfam family: Archaeal small subunit ribosomal RNA
Source: RNAcentral
AGUCACUGACAUUAGAUACCCCCGUAGUCCAGGGUGUAAACGCUGCAGACUUGGUGUUGGGAACCCUUCGGGGGUGCUCAGUGCCGGAGAGAAGUUGUUAAGUCUGCUACUUGGGGAGUACGUCCGCAAGGAUGAAACUUAAAGGAAAUUGGCGGGGGAGCACCGCAACGGGAGGAGCGUGCGGUUUAAUUGGAUUCAACGCCGAAAACUCACCAGCAGCGACUGUUACAUGAAAGUCAGGUUGAUGACCUUACUAGAUUUUCAG